CAAUAGCGUAUAUUUAAGUUGUUGCAGUUAAAAAGCUCGUAGUUGGAUUUCGGAUGGGACUUGCCGGUCCGUCGUUUCGAUGUGCACUGGCCAGUCCUAUCUUGUUGUCGGGGACUAGCUCCUGGGCUUCACUGGCCGGGACUAGGAGCUGACGAGGUUACUUUGAGUAAAUUAGAGUGUUCAAAGCAAGCCUACGCUCUGAAUACAUUAGCAUGGAAUAACACGAUAGGACUCUGGCUUAUCUUGUUGGUCUGUGAGACCAGAGUAAUGAUUAAGAGGGACAGUCGGGGGCAUUCGUAUUUCAUUGUCAGAGGUGAAAUUCUUGGAUUUAUGAAAGACGAACUUCUGCGAAAGCAUUUGUCAAGGAUGUUUUCAUUAA
Molecule: ribosomal RNA, 379 nt
Filed under: uncultured eukaryote
Lineage: Eukaryota
Description: partial 18S ribosomal RNA
Rfam family: Eukaryotic small subunit ribosomal RNA
Source: RNAcentral